GGGGUUGUGGCUCAGUGGUAGAGUGCUCGCCUAGCACAUGCGAGGCAUUGGGUUCCACCCUCAGUACCA
Molecule: transfer RNA, 69 nt
Filed under: Marmota monax (woodchuck)
Lineage: Eukaryota; Metazoa; Chordata; Mammalia; Rodentia; Sciuridae
Description: tRNA.Ala
Source: RNAcentral